UACGGAGGGUGCAAGUGUUAUCCGGAUUCACUGGGUUUAAAGGGUGCGUAGGUGGGUAUGUAAGUCAGUGGUGAAAUCCCCGAGCUUAACUUGGGAACUGCCGUUGAUACUAUAUAUCUUGAAUGCUGUGGAGGUAAGCGGAAUAUGUCAUGUAGCGGUGAAAUGCUUAGAUAUGACAUAGAACACCUAUUGCGAAGGCAGCUUACUACGCAGAUAUUGACGCUCAUGCACGAAAGCGUGGGGAUCAAACAGG
This 253-nucleotide ribosomal RNA is filed under the name uncultured prokaryote. RNAcentral describes it as "partial 16S ribosomal RNA". It matches the Rfam family "Bacterial small subunit ribosomal RNA", at positions 524 to 776 of the family's 1533-position model. The record is from RNAcentral.